This 253-nucleotide ribosomal RNA is filed under the name uncultured bacterium. Its description in RNAcentral is "partial 16S ribosomal RNA". It matches the Rfam family "Bacterial small subunit ribosomal RNA", at positions 524 to 776 of the family's 1533-position model. The record is from RNAcentral.
UACGUAGGGGGCAAGCGUUGUCCGGAUUCAUUGGGCGUAAAGAGCGUGUAGGCGGCCAGGUAGGUCGGUUGUGAAAACUGGAGACUCAACCUUCAGAGGUCGACCGAAACCAUCUGGCUAGAGUCCGGGAGAGGAGAGUGGAAUUCCUGGUGUAGCGGUGAAAUGCGCAGAUAUCAGGAGGAACACCAAUUGCGAAGGCAGCUCGCUGGGACGUUACUGACGCUGAGACGCGAAAGCGUGGGGAGCAAACAGG